GGAUGCGAUCAUACCAGCACUAAAGCACCGGAUCCCAUCAGAACUCCGAAGUUAAGCGUGCUUGGGUGAGAGUAGUACUAGGAUGGGUGACCUCCUGGGAAGUCCUCGUGUUGCAUUGC
Molecule: ribosomal RNA, 119 nt
Filed under: Triticum aestivum (bread wheat)
Lineage: Eukaryota; Viridiplantae; Streptophyta; Magnoliopsida; Poales; Poaceae
Source: RNAcentral